AUGGCUCAGGAUGAACGCUAGCGGCAGGCUUAAUACAUGCAAGUCGAGGGGCAGCAUGAAGUAGCAAUACUUUGAUGGCCGACCGGCAAACGGGUGCGGAACACGUACACAACCUUCCUUUAAGUGGGGAAUAGCCCAGNGAAAUUUGGAUUAAUACCCCGUAACACAACGAAGUGGCAUCACUUUGUUGUUAUAGUUUCGGCGGUAUAAGAUGGGCAUGCGUCCUAUUAGCUAGAUGGUAAGGUAACGGCUUACCAUGGCUACGAUAGGUAGGGGGCCUGAGAGGGUGGUCCCCCACACUGGUACUGAGACACGGACCAGACUCCUACGGGAGGCAGCAGUGAGGAAUAUUGGUCAAUGGGCGCAAGCCUGAACCAGCCAUGCCGCGUGCAGGAAGAAUGCCCUCUGGGUUGUAAACUGCUUUUAUUUGGGAAUAAACCUUUCUACGUGUAGAAAGCUGAAGGUACCAAAUGAAUAAGCACCGGCUAACUCCGUG
This 496-nucleotide ribosomal RNA is filed under the name uncultured bacterium. RNAcentral's name for it is "bacterial SSU rRNA". It matches the Rfam family "Bacterial small subunit ribosomal RNA", at positions 19 to 507 of the family's 1533-position model. The record is from RNAcentral.